UAACCUGCCUUGUACUGGGGGAUAGCAGCUGGAAACGGCUGCUAAUACCGCAUAAGCGCACGGCAUCGCAUGAUGCAGUGUGAAAAACUCCGGUGGUAUAAGAUGGACCCGCGUUGGAUUAGCUAGUUGGUGAGGUAACGGCCCACCAAGGCGACGAUCCAUAGCCGACCUGAGAGGGUGACCGGCCACAUUGGGACUGAGACACGGCCCAAACUCCUACGGGAGGCAGCAGUGGGGAAUAUUGCACAAUGGGCGAAAGCCUGAUGCAGCGACGCCGCGUGAGCGAAGAAGUAUUUCGGUAUGUAAAGCUCUAUCAGCAGGGAAGAUAAUGACGGUACCUGACUAAGAAGCACCGGCUAAAUACGUGCCAGCAGCCGCGGUAAUACGUAUGGUGCAAGCGUUAUCCGGAUUUACUGGGUGUAAAGGGAGCGCAGGCGGUGCGGCAAGUCUGAUGUGAAAGCCCGGGGCUCAACCCCGGUACUGCAUUGGAAACUGUCGUACUAGAGUGUCGGAGGGGUAAGCGGAAUUCCUAGUGUAGCGGUGAAAUGCGUAGAUAUUAGGAGGAACACCAGUGGCGAAGGCGGCUUACUGGACGAUAACUGACGCUGAGGCUCGAAAGCGUGG
This 624-nucleotide ribosomal RNA is filed under the name uncultured bacterium. RNAcentral's name for it is "bacterial SSU rRNA". It matches the Rfam family "Bacterial small subunit ribosomal RNA", at positions 122 to 764 of the family's 1533-position model. The record is from RNAcentral.